UACAGAGGGUGCAAGCGUUGUUCGGAAUUAUUGGGCGUAAAGCGCGUGUAGGCGGCUUUGCAAGUCGGAUGUGAAAGCCCUCGGCUCAACCGAGGAAGUGCGUUCGAAACUGCAGAGCUUGAGUGCCGGAGAGGGUGGCGGAAUUCCCCAAGUAGAGGUGAAAUUCGUAGAUAUGGGGAGGGACACCGGUUGCGAAGGCGGCCCCCUGGACGGUCACUGAAGCUGAGACGCGAAAGCGUGGGAGAGCAAACAGG
Molecule: ribosomal RNA, 254 nt
Filed under: uncultured bacterium
Lineage: Bacteria
Description: partial 16S ribosomal RNA
Rfam family: Bacterial small subunit ribosomal RNA
Source: RNAcentral